CGCGUGAGUAACCUGCCUUGGAGUGGGGAAUAACAGCUGGAAACAGCUGCUAAUACCGCAUAAUAUAUCUGGGUCGCAUGGCUCUGGAUAUCAAAGAUUUAUCGCUCUGAGAUGGACUCGCGUCUGAUUAGCUGGUUGGCGGGGUAACGGCCCACCAAGGCGACGAUCAGUAGCCGGACUGAGAGGUUGGCCGGCCACAUUGGGACUGAGACACGGCCCAGACUCCUACGGAAGGCAGCAG
RNAcentral lists this ribosomal RNA (241 nucleotides) under uncultured bacterium. RNAcentral's name for it is "partial 16S ribosomal RNA". It matches the Rfam family "Bacterial small subunit ribosomal RNA", at positions 114 to 354 of the family's 1533-position model. The record is from RNAcentral.